GGGCCCGCACAAGCGGUGGAGCAUGUGGUUUAAUUCGAAGCAACGCGAAGAACCUUACCAGGUCUUGACAUCCCUGGACAGCUGUGGAAACACAGUUUCCCUUCGGGGCCAGGAGACAGGUGGUGCAUGGUUGUCGUCAGCUCGUGUCGUGAGAUGUUGGGUUAAGUCCCGCAACGAGCGCAACCCUUGCCUUUAGUUGCCAUCAUUAAGUUGGGGACUCUAAAGGGACUGCCGGUGACAAAUCGGAGGAAGGUGGGG
RNAcentral lists this ribosomal RNA (258 nucleotides) under uncultured prokaryote. RNAcentral describes it as "partial 16S ribosomal RNA". It matches the Rfam family "Bacterial small subunit ribosomal RNA", at positions 917 to 1178 of the family's 1533-position model. The record is from RNAcentral.